UACGGGGGGGGCAAGCGUUGUUCGGAAUUACUGGGCGUAAAGGGCUCGUAGGCGGCCAACUAAGUCAGACGUGAAAUCCCCAGGCUCAACCUGGGAACUGCGUCUGAUACUGGAUGGCUUGAAUCCGGGAGAGGGAUGCAGAAUUCCAGGUGUAGCGGUGAAAUGCGUAGAUAUCAGGAGGAACACCAAUGGCGAAGGCAGCUCGCUGGGACGUGACUGACGCUGAGACGCGAAAGCGUGGGGAGCAAACAGG
RNAcentral lists this ribosomal RNA (253 nucleotides) under uncultured bacterium. Its description in RNAcentral is "partial 16S ribosomal RNA". It matches the Rfam family "Bacterial small subunit ribosomal RNA", at positions 524 to 776 of the family's 1533-position model. The record is from RNAcentral.